RNAcentral lists this ribosomal RNA (506 nucleotides) under uncultured bacterium. RNAcentral's name for it is "partial 16S ribosomal RNA". It matches the Rfam family "Bacterial small subunit ribosomal RNA", at positions 29 to 523 of the family's 1533-position model. The record is from RNAcentral.
AGUGAACGCUGGCGGUAGGCCUAACACAUGCAAGUCGAACGGCAGCACAGGAGAGCUUGCUCUCUGGGUGGCGAGUGGCGGACGGGUGAGAAAUACAUCGGAAUCUACUCUGGCGUGGGGGAUAACGUAGGGAAACUUACGCUAAUACCGCAUACGACCUACGGGUGAAAGCAGGGGACCGUCGGGCCUUGCGCGAUUGAAUGAGCCGAUGUCGGAUUAGCUAGUUGGCGGGGUAAAGGCCCACCAAGGCGACGAUCCGUAGCUGGUCUGAGAGGAUGAUCAGCCACUCUGGAACUGAGACACGGUCCAGACUCCUACGGGAGGCAGCAGUGGGGAAUAUUGGACAAUGGGCGCAAGCCUGAUCCAGCCAUACCGCGUGGGUGAAGAAGGCCUUCGGGUUGUAAAGCCCUUUUGUUGGGAAAGAAAUCCAGCUGGCUAAUACCCGGUUGGGAUGACGGUACCCAAAGAAUAAGCACCGGCUAACUUCGUGCCAGCCGCCGCCGUAA